This 492-nucleotide ribosomal RNA is filed under the name uncultured bacterium. RNAcentral's name for it is "partial 16S ribosomal RNA". It matches the Rfam family "Bacterial small subunit ribosomal RNA", at positions 29 to 507 of the family's 1533-position model. The record is from RNAcentral.
AGUGAACGCUGGCGGUAGGCCUAACACAUGCAAGUCGAACGGACGCACAGUAAGAGCUUGCUCUUAUGGGUGGCGAGUGGCGGACGGGUGAGGCAUACAUCGGAAUCUACUUUUUCGUGGGGGAUAACGUAGGGAAACUUACGCUAAUACCGCAUACGACCUACGGGUGAAAGCAGGGGAUCUUCGGACUUUGCGCGAUUGAAUGAGCCGAUGUCGGAUUAGCUAGUUGGCGGGGUAAAGGCCCACCAAGGCGACGAUCCGUAGCUGGGCUGAGAGGAUGAUCAGCCACACUGGAACUGAGACACGGUCCAGACUCCUACGGGAGGCAGCAGUGGGGAAUAUUGGACAAUGGGCGCAAGCCUGAUCCAGCCAUACCGCGUGGGUGAAGAAGGCCUUCGGGUUGUAAAGCCCUUUUGUUGGGAAAGAAAAGCAGCAGGUUAAUACCCCGCUGUUCUGACGGUACCCAAAGAAUAAGCACCGGCUAACUUCGUG